GGGGGGAGGCCGGAUCCUGGGCUGUGUCCCGGCGCCCUGUGCUCCCGGGCCUGCGCUGUUGGAUUCGCGCUCCCGCCCCGGAGCCCCCU
This is a non-coding RNA of Canis lupus familiaris (dog), 89 nucleotides long. Lineage: Eukaryota; Metazoa; Chordata; Mammalia; Carnivora; Canidae. The record is from Rfam.